This 455-nucleotide ribosomal RNA is filed under the name uncultured bacterium. RNAcentral describes it as "partial 16S ribosomal RNA". It matches the Rfam family "Bacterial small subunit ribosomal RNA", at positions 356 to 803 of the family's 1533-position model. The record is from RNAcentral.
AGGGAAUCUUCCACAAUGGACGCAAGUCUGAUGGAGCAACGCCGCGUGAGUGAAGAAGGCUUUCGGGUCGUAAAACUCUGUUAUUGAAGAAGAACGUGCGUGACAGUAACUGGUCAUGCAGUGACGGUAUUCAAUCAGAAAGUCACGGCUAACUACGUGCCAGCAGCCGCGGUAAUACGUAGGUGGCAAGCGUUGUCCGGAUUUAUUGGGCGUAAAGCGAGUGCAGGCGGUCUUUUAAGUCUGAUGUGAAAGCCUUCGGCUUAACCGAAGAAGGGCAUCGGAAACUGGGAGACUUGAGUGCAGAAGAGGAGAGUGGAACUCCAUGUGUAGCGGUGAAAUGCGUAGAUAUAUGGAAGAACACCAGUGGCGAAGGCGGCUCUCUGGUCUGUAACUGACGCUGAGGCUCGAAAGCGUGGGUAGCAAACAGGAUUAGAUACCCUGGUAGUCCACGCCGU